This 245-nucleotide ribosomal RNA is filed under the name uncultured bacterium. Its description in RNAcentral is "partial 16S ribosomal RNA". It matches the Rfam family "Bacterial small subunit ribosomal RNA", at positions 524 to 768 of the family's 1533-position model. The record is from RNAcentral.
AACGUAGGAGCCUAGCGUUAUCCGGAUUUACUGGGCGUAAAGCGCGCGCAGGCGGUCAGGUAAGUUGGACGUGAAAUCGCCCGGCUCAACCGGGCGAGGCCGUUCAAAACUACCUGACUUGAGGGCAGUAGAGGGAGGUGGAAUUCCGGGUGUAGCGGUGAAAUGCGUAGAUAUCCGGAGGAACACCAGUGGCGAAAGCGGCCUCCUGGACUGCCCCUGACGCUCAUGCGCGAAAGCUAGGGUAG